AGAACCUUUAAAAAAUAGUCCAGAGAGGCUAGAAAGGGAUCGUAUGUUACAUGUAAAAGUAUGCCCUUUUUCCUUUCUUGGAAAAGGGCAUUUUUAGA
Molecule: regulatory RNA element, 98 nt
Organism: Oceanobacillus iheyensis HTE831
Lineage: Bacteria; Bacillati; Bacillota; Bacilli; Caryophanales; Bacillaceae
Rfam family: PyrR binding site
About the family: This family represents the PyrR binding site and terminator structure. This RNA structure is found upstream of a variety of genes involved in pyrimidine biosynthesis and transport.
Source: Rfam